AGUUCGGAUUGUAGUCUGCAACCCGACUACAUGAAGCUGGAAUCGCUAGUAAUCGCGAAUCAGAAUGUCGCGGUGAAUACGUUCCCGGGUCUUGUACACACCGCCCGUCACACCAUGGGAGUCGGAAAUGCCCGAAGUCAGUGACCCAACCGUAAGGAGGGAGCUGCCGAAGGUGGAGCCGGUAACUGGGGUGAAGUCGUAACAAGGUAAC
Molecule: ribosomal RNA, 211 nt
Filed under: uncultured bacterium
Lineage: Bacteria
Description: partial 16S ribosomal RNA
Rfam family: Bacterial small subunit ribosomal RNA
Source: RNAcentral